AAUAGAUACCCUGGUAGUCCACGCCCUAAACGAUGUCAACUGGUUGUUGGGUCUUCACUGACUCAGUAACGAAGCUAACGCGUGAAGUUGACCGCCUGGGGAGUACGGCCGCAAGGUUGAAGCUCAAAGGAAUUGACGGGGACCCGCACAAGCGGUGGAUGAUGUGGUUUAAUUCGAUGCAACGCGAAAAACCUUACCCACCUUUGACAUGUACGGAAGUUGCCAGAGAUGGCUUCGUGCUCGAAAGAGAGCCGUAACACAGGUGCUGCAUGGCUGUCGUCAGCUCGUGUCGUGAGAUGUUGGGUUAAGUCCCGCAACGAGCGCAACCCUUGCCAUUAGUUGCUACGAAAGGGCACUCUAAUGGGACUGCCGGUGACAAACCGGAGGAAGGUGGGGAUGACGUCAAGUCCUCAUGGCCCUUAUAGGUGGGGCUACACACGUCAUACAAUGGCCGGUACAGAGGGUCGCGAAGCCGCGAGGUGGAGCCAAUCCCAUAAAAACCGGUCGUAGUCCGGAUCGCAGUCUGCAA
This 529-nucleotide ribosomal RNA is filed under the name uncultured bacterium. RNAcentral describes it as "bacterial SSU rRNA". It matches the Rfam family "Bacterial small subunit ribosomal RNA", at positions 777 to 1310 of the family's 1533-position model. The record is from RNAcentral.